CUAAACCCUACUCUAGGAGGGCAACAAACCCCCAAGUUCUUCGCUUCCCCCCCGGGCCCGCCUCGCCCAGAGCGCGCCCCGGGCGAGGCGAGAGCACAGAGAGAACGCGAAGAACCUUACCACGGUCUUGAGAUAUCUAUUGCCAAUCUAAGAGAUUAGACGUUCCCUUCGGGGACAUGGAUACAGGUGGUGCAUGGUUGUCGUCAGCUCGUGUCGUGAGAUGUUGGGUUAAGUCCCGCAACGAGCGCAACCCUUAUUAUCAGUUGCCAGCAUUAAGUUGGGCACUCUGGUGAGACUGCCGGUGACAAACCGGAGGAAGGUGGGGAUGACGUCAAAUCAUCAUGCCCCUUAUGACCUGGGCUACACACGUGCUACAAUGGAUGGUACAACGAGUUGCGAACUCGCGAGAGUAAGCUAAUCUCUUAAAGCCAUUCUCAGUUCGGAUUGUAGGCUGCAACUCGCCUACAUGAAGUCGGAAUCGCUAGUAAUCGCGGAUCAGCAUGCCGCGGUGAAUAUGUUCUCGGGUCUUGUACACACCGA
Molecule: ribosomal RNA, 540 nt
Filed under: Lactiplantibacillus plantarum
Lineage: Bacteria; Bacillati; Bacillota; Bacilli; Lactobacillales; Lactobacillaceae
Description: bacterial SSU rRNA
Rfam family: Bacterial small subunit ribosomal RNA
Source: RNAcentral